CUUCUACUGAAGCAAGAGUAUUGCUAGCAUCAGUGACCAUUGGAUCACCUGUAUUGCUAUCAGGCCCAUGAGAUGCUUUUAAUUCUUCCUCUUUGAUCAUACUAGCUUUCAGUUCCUCCUCCCUUUUCAAUUGCUUUUGCUCUUCUUCAUAAGCAAUUAGCUCAUCCCCGACUAAAGGAACCCUCCUCGACAUAGUAACUUUAACUGCCUUUGGAGGUGGAUCAGCCUGAAGCAUGCGAGCUAAGGUGCCAAAUUGGCCUCUUUCCGUGAAAAGCACUUGGCUUUUAGCAUCUGCUGCCCAUUCAACAAAUAUGUCAUGCGAAAAACCUGCUUCCAAACUGGCCAUGGAUGCUAGAACAACC
This 362-nucleotide unclassified non-coding RNA is filed under the name Hevea brasiliensis (rubber tree). Lineage: Eukaryota; Viridiplantae; Streptophyta; Magnoliopsida; Malpighiales; Euphorbiaceae. The record is from RNAcentral.